Molecule: ribosomal RNA, 253 nt
Filed under: uncultured bacterium
Lineage: Bacteria
Description: partial 16S ribosomal RNA
Rfam family: Bacterial small subunit ribosomal RNA
Source: RNAcentral
UACGUAGGGGGCUAGCGUUGUCCGGAAUCAUUGGGCGUAAAGCGCGUGUAGGCGGUUCGGUAAGUCCGCUGUGAAAGUCGGGGGCUCAACCCUCGAAUGCCGGUGGAUACUGUCGGACUAGAGUCCGGAAGAGGAGAGUGGAAUUCCCGGUGUAGCGGUGAAAUGCGCAGAUAUCAGGAGGAACACCGGUGGCGAAGGCGGGUCUCUGGGCAUUACCUGACGCUGAGGAGCGAAAGUGUGGGGAGCGAACAGG